AUAUGACUUAGUGGCGGACGGGUGAGUAACACGUGAGCAACCUGCCUUUCAGAGGGGGAUAACGGCUGGAAACGGUCGCUAAUACCGCAUGAUGUGUUCGGAUGGCAUCAUCUGAACAUCAAAGAUUUAUCGCUGAAAGAUGGGCUCGCGUCUGAUUAGAUAGUUGGCAGGGCAGCGGCCUACCAAGGCGACGAUCAGUAGCCGGCCUGAGAGGGUGAACGGCCACAUUGGGACUGAGACACGGCCCAAACUCC
This 254-nucleotide ribosomal RNA is filed under the name uncultured Eubacteriales bacterium. Its description in RNAcentral is "uncultured Clostridiales bacterium partial 16S ribosomal RNA". It matches the Rfam family "Bacterial small subunit ribosomal RNA", at positions 85 to 339 of the family's 1533-position model. The record is from RNAcentral. Lineage: Bacteria; Bacillati; Bacillota; Clostridia; Eubacteriales.